Arachis ipaensis is the source of this 708-nucleotide non-coding RNA. The record is from RefSeq and is a predicted model, not a curated record. Lineage: Eukaryota; Viridiplantae; Streptophyta; Magnoliopsida; Fabales; Fabaceae.
GAUCCAGUGAUCCACUCGUAAGUCGUGACCCAACCUCCCUCUUCCCCCAAUCAUUCAUUCAUUCCUAACCCAGGUCCUCAGAGAAACAGAGAUGAGAGAACUAUGAAUCGAAGAAACCCUAGCCGCCUAGCCCUCCAUCGUCGCUGCCUAACCCAGGUCAUCAGCGCCGCCGCCAUCCCAGGUCCUCAGCACCGCCACUUCGUCCUCUUCCCCGUGUCCGAAACCCAGUAACUUGGCAGGUCCUCUUCGGCUCUUCAUCUUCGUUGGCUUCUCGGCACGGACCCAGUUGCUGAUAGUGUUUUACCAGUUGUUGUUCGUGGCAUGGAGUAGCUUGCCGUCGGGUCGCCGGUUUCCAUCGUCUCGCCGGUUGCCGUCUGUCGAAGGGAGCAGCUCAAAGUUGGGAGUAGAGUAGCUUGCAGCAUUGAAAACCAUCAGCACAAUGAACAACACUGAGUGCUUCAGGAAGUAUGGUGAUAAAACAGAAGUUUCUUAAGUAUCCUGGAUUUUAUAUUUUAGAAGCCAAAUGAUUGAUCCUAUUUUAGGUAUCUUUCUAAAGAUGGUUUACACAGACUCAAUUUAUGAAUUGUCACCAUCAUCUAAAAACACAUUUGAUUGGAAGCUUGGAAAACAUUUAAUAUUAUCAAUGUAUUAACUAUUAAACAAACAUGUUCUGAAAGUUUAUAUUAUAGUAAUAAAUAUGUUUUAUAA